Oncorhynchus keta (chum salmon) is the source of this 261-nucleotide long non-coding RNA. RefSeq lists it as uncharacterized. The transcript is spliced from 3 exons. Lineage: Eukaryota; Metazoa; Chordata; Actinopteri; Salmoniformes; Salmonidae. The record is from RefSeq and is a predicted model, not a curated record.
CCAGCUAGUAAAGAAGGUAUAGCUGAUUAUUCUCUAUAUAAGAACCAGCUAGUAAAGAAGGUAUAGCUGAUUAUCCUCUAUAUAAGAACCAGCUAGUAAAGAAGGUACAGCUGAUUAUUCCCUAAAAAUAUUCACUUGGUAGCAGACAGUAAAGAAGGUAGCUAAUUGUUAACCAAAUUGAACACAAAUGAUGUUGAUGUUUUUUUGCUCCUUGUGUGUCCCAGAAGCCAUAGUUAACAUGGUAUCCUCUUUCCUCCUCCU